Molecule: transfer RNA, 67 nt
Filed under: Nippostrongylus brasiliensis
Lineage: Eukaryota; Metazoa; Nematoda; Chromadorea; Rhabditida; Heligmosomidae
Rfam family: tRNA
About the family: Transfer RNA (tRNA) molecules are approximately 80 nucleotides in length. Their secondary structure includes four short double-helical elements and three loops (D, anti-codon, and T loops).
Source: Rfam by way of RNAcentral
CGAUCAGUAGUGUAGUGGUUAACACACGAAUCCCAUAUUGGCGCGAGUUCGAUUCCCGCCUGAGCCU